AUACGUAGGGGGCGAGCGUUGUCCGGAAUGACUGGGCGUAAAGGGCGUGUAGGCGGCCGAUUAAGUCUGGAGUGAAAGUCCUGCUUUCAAGGUGGGAAUUGCUUUGGAGACUGGUUGGCUUGAGUGCGGACGAGGUAAGUGGAAUUCCCAGCGUAGCGGUGAAAUGCGUAGAGAUUGGGAGGAACACCAGUGGCGAAGGCGACUUACUGGGCCGUAACUGACGCUGAGGCGCGAAAGCGUGGGGAGCGAACAGGAUUAGAUACCCUGGUAGUCCACGCGGUAAACGAUGAAUGCUAGGUGUAGGGGGUAUCGACCCCUCCUGUGCCGGAGUGAACGCAAUAAGCAUUCCGCCUGGGGAGUACGGCCGCAAGGUUGAAACUUAAAGGAAUUGACGGGG
RNAcentral lists this ribosomal RNA (397 nucleotides) under uncultured bacterium. Its description in RNAcentral is "partial 16S ribosomal RNA". It matches the Rfam family "Bacterial small subunit ribosomal RNA", at positions 523 to 918 of the family's 1533-position model. The record is from RNAcentral.